This is a long non-coding RNA of Tympanuchus pallidicinctus (lesser prairie-chicken), 6141 nucleotides long. RefSeq lists it as uncharacterized. The record is from RefSeq and is a predicted model, not a curated record. The transcript is spliced from 4 exons. NCBI's taxonomy places the organism in Eukaryota, Metazoa, Chordata, Aves, Galliformes, Phasianidae.
AGUUUGAGAAUUAAUGUAGUUUUCCAGCUUGUUGCAAUAUAUACUGAAAGCAGUACGUUCUUUUUUUCCAUGAACUUCAGUGCAUGCUGUAUCAAGUACGUCUGGAUCAAUUUGAGAAACGGGAUAUUAUAAUGAUCCUGAAAAUAUUUUCUGACCAGCUCACAUGAUACAGAAAGUGAUGGAGUCACCAUCCCUAGAGGUUUUCAAGAAAACUGUGAUGUUACAUUGAGUGACAUGGUUUGAUGGACAGUUAGACUGGAUGAUCUUAGUGAUCAGCCUUAAUGAUUCUUUGAUUCUCCCUACAGUAGCAUUUUUGUCCCAUUCUAGUACAAUGUCUAAUGAACAUCACUUUCACAGCUGGCCUCCCCAUCAGUUUUUCCCUCUGGUGCCUAGAGAUUAGAACUCCUAAUCUGUUUUUAUCAUUUCUGAGGAUCAACCCCCCUGUGCUUUGUUGGGAAGCACUUCCAGUCUGAGUGUACCCUCUCAAAUGUGAGCCUUGGGGGCUGGCUGGCCAUGGGAGCCAUACUUGCAUCCUUCCAGAAAUCUUUGAAGACCUGUUCCAACAUGAUAACAUUAGUUUUUUUCUCAAGCAAUUUGAGUAGAAAUCAAAAUAUCUUGGCUAAGUUUGCUAGGUCAAGAGGAAAGAUCUGGGAUAAGCAGAUGGAGGUGGAAUCUCAUGAUUUUCCCAAUUACACAAUCAUGUAUCACUGUGACCCAGCGACUGCUCUGGCAAAGCUGCACCAGCAACAAAAUGGGGUCUUACAUAUCUCUGAUGGUCAUAGCUGGACUGCAAAGGAGUGUCUGAGAAGGGGGAAACAGCAGCUGAAUUUGGGUCUUGUGGAAACGGAGCCCCACUACAUUGUGAGACCAUCUGAGCUGCACAUGUUCAGCGAAGGCACUUCUAUUUGGCUGUUAUCUCAGAAUGGGGGAAAUGUGGAAGAUAAAUCUGAAGGUUUUUCCAGACAAAGGGAACUUAUCGAGUAAUAUUGAAACAGCCGGCUCAGAGCCAAGCUAGGAUUUGGCCCUUAUUUUGAGCUGAGUAGAUAGAAACUGUGGCCAAGGAUCAGCUGGAAAACCACUUAACCUUUUUUGAGAUUGAACAGCAGCUUUUGCUGAGAAAGUCUGGUUUGAAAUACAAGCAUGAGAGAAAUGGAGAGCAAUGAUUUGUACAAUGAUUGACAGCAUGUCAUGUAGGACAACCUACAAACAUACCUCCUGAAGGUUGUGCCAUGUAUGAGCAUGUACUCUGAUGAGGUGCAGCUAGAAAAUAUAAGAGGUUAUAGAGGAAAAAAUGCAGUUUUUGAUCUUUUUCACCUCUUUUACUGUACCUUUCCUUUAUCCUGCAUGUCUCAAAUGCUGCUUUAGGCCUGAGGUUUGCUAGGGUGGGUAAAGGCAGAGGGAUUAUUUCAGUAGAAUUUUGCAUCCUAAUGCUAAGGAUCUUUCUUUAUGGAGUUUCUCAGUGGUGUAUUGCAUUUCUCUGUCCUCCAGUUCCUGCUCUCUUAUCCUUCAUUUGACCAUAUAUUUUAUCAGCCUUUAUUCUUCAGAAAUGCUUAUAGGCAGUUGGGCCGUCAAGCUUUCCCUUGUUCUUGUGUGUAAAGGCAUGAGAAGCAGACAGCUCCAUUGCUGAGCUAGGAUGUUUUUACUGGAUAUUUCACUAUAUGUCUACAAUGAUUUCUGAAUUAAUUAAGAAGCAGUAUUCAUUUCAAUUGUAUUCUCCCUGUAUGUGAUGGAUGCUGCUUUUCCUCCUUUCUAAGUUGACCUGAGCUAAGAUAGGAUCAGGAUGUCAUUGUCUAAUGGCUACUUUAGCAAUUUAAGGCAUCUUGUAGCUAUUGUAAAAAUGAUUCCCCUCAGGUGGUUUAAAUGAGCUGGUUUGCUGUACUGUGCCUAAGGGGAAGAAAUAAAAAAUAGAUCUGUAUCAUGUUUAGCUGUGCAGCAUGACUAGGGAUGGCCAGAUUUUUAUACUGAAUUGCAUAUGUAUUUUUCUUGUCUCAUGGAAUAGCUAUGGUAUUCAUGUAGUCUUUGGAUUUCUCUCUUUGGUCAGUAGUAGCCAGCAUGUUAAAUAGGGUCAUGACAAAGGAUGCUCUUCAAUCUCCAUGUAAAGUACAUCUUCAGCCAAGCCCCUCAAAUCCCAUUCUACUCCAGCUGUGAUGCCUUUAACAGAGGACUGUCUGUUAGACCAGCUUUCCAAAACAAAACCCUACCAAAACAGAACACACUGCAAAGACCAUUUUCAAUGGCCAAAGUGAGACUCAUCUCUUACACGUGAUUGGAAGACAUUGCAGGAUUAAAAAUCUGCAAACUUUAUACUUAGGAUUCCUUCAUACUUCCCAGUUAUUUCUAACUGAUGUAUCAUCUGAUCUACGUCUCUCUCCAUGAAGUGCAGAGUAGCUGAAAGAGUGGAACUCCUACAGUCUUCAUUCAUGCAGUGUUUUACCAACUUUUGGAGUUGAGAACUCCAAAUUUUGAGUCAAUAGUUUGAGAUAAGGACUAAGGAAAACUUAAGGAUCUUUCACAAAGAAAUUGGAGCUGCAAACCUCUGACAGGUUGCCUUUUCUAUCCAGUAUGGAAUGUGCCCCACACUUUUUAAAACAGCACUUGCCUUUGCCUAGCACCAAACAGUGGGAUUUUAAGCCAUGGCUUGGGAUCCCUCAGCACUAUGCACAGUAGUUGGUUAAUAAGGGCACCAACAUUGUUUUCUGACAUGUAAUGCUACUAUUACUUCAAAUAUUUUGCUAAUAUUCUUUAAUCUCUCCUUGUGAUUGUCCCCUUCUGCAUUUUCAGUUAUCAACGUUUCUAAAUGAAGGAAUGUUGAAGCAUGGAAGAUUAGAUAAGGAAAUAUUUAACAUCAAGAAACUCUUUGCUCAGGGGGAGGGCUUUGAACAGGACUGUUGUAUUGAUUUGUUACACCAGAGCCUGUGUUUUAUCAGCAACACAUAAAUCAAAUGGUACCGUGCACAACAAUGUACAUACAGUUUUUAAUAGAGAAAGGGAACCCGUUCUCUGUAGUGCUUCUGCUUGCUGGCUGACAUGAGAGAAUGAAGAGUGUGUCUUUUUCUUUUUCUUUUUUUUUUUUUUUUGUAAAUGGAGAAUGAUGGAGUAGGUCUAUGAGAAAAAAGACUGAGCUCAUUUCAAAUCCAAGGGAAGCUGCUCUGCUCCUGUCUCCCAGUGAUUCAUGAGCUGUCAUGCAUUACAGAUGAAUCCAGCUCGCUCUGACAAAACCCAUGACCUGAGCACUUCUAAAAACCGUGGCACCCCAGGCAGGGUCGUGCAUGCAGGACCAGGAGAGAAAGCAGGAAUGUGGCUCUGGGAAGGGGCAGCCCAUUAAGCUGCUGUGUAGCAGCGGCAGCAAAGUGUCUCAGAAGGAAACAAAAGGACUGUGAGCUGCGAUGCUCCUUCCUGUUUUUGAGAUUUCACUUUAUCCUAAAACAACACCUCAUCGAUUUGAGCCAAGCUUUACUAUGACAGGUCAAAACCAGCAUAAAAUCGUAGUACCUUUUUGUAUAGGUUUAUCUUACGUUAAACUCUGUUACUUGUCCCAGGUGGAGGAUGCCUAGUUGCCUGUGUGUUGGAUGACACUGGGCAAUAUCUGCCAGCAUCUCUAGCUGUGCAGAAGUUCUGUUUUCUCUCCACGUUAUAUCCAGACACACAUUUUGGGCUCCUUGUAUCUCUUUUCUCUCCUGCAGAACAGUGGUGUUGAAGCAGGGGAGGCAAGGGUGUAAAUGGGACUACUUACAGUAUGUAAGAAACCAAGCAGAGUGUAAAUGAGAUACCUAUUGAAGCUUCAAGCUUGGCAUUGCUCAGGGAGCCCAACACAAACCUUCCUCCUCCAUGGGGAGAAUGUGCAGCAUCCUGCCCUGCAUCCUUAUGGCUUGGUUUGCCCUCCAGCCUCCUCUCCAACAUCCAGUUUGGGGUCAUUGCAGUUAUUUCACAGGCAGCACCAUCCAGCGAGGCUUAAAUACACAGCAGGGAUGAGCCUGGCCUGCCAAGAUCAUCUCUUUCCCCAUUAAAGUAAAUUAAAUUUGAAUGGGUAGGAAGGAGAGCAAAAUUUAGCCUGGUUUGUCUUUUCUGUGAAAAAGUUAAUGUGGCACAGUGCCCAGGCAAAUUCAGAUUGCUCCGUGCUGUAAUGCUGUUCUGCAGCUACCAAACUAGACCUGACUUGCACCCUGCCUGAGCCUGGUGAGCAGACAUGCCCUAAGGGUAUGUCUACACUGUAGGAUAGAGUUGAGACCUGGACUUGGCGAGGCAAACCUGAGCUCUUGGUCAGCAGGGGUGUGAUGUGAGAUGUGUGUCCUUGGCUCUGGGAUGGGGUGAGGAGGAGGAACAGGGAGGUGUCCAACCUCAGAAAGUCUUGUGAUGCAUUUGAGGAUUGAGGUUGUGUGGUGGAAGGGCAUUUUGGGCUGGCACAUGCUGUGCUCAGUGAUGGAAUGCUCGUCCCAUGGAGAUUGUGCAGGAAGUCAUGGCCAGGUUCAUUUGUAUGAGGGCAUGUAACUAGAAAACUAUAAAAAUAGCAGGAACAAGUAGAACUUGCUUCUAGUGAAAAAAACAAAGACAUUGCAAUACAUACUAAAUUCCUUUCUUUUUCUUUCUUUCUUCAUUCCUUGUCUUCUGGUUGCAAGUCAUUUUUCUGCUUCUCAAAUACCAGGCUCUUCUGUGCUUGCUUUGUCUCUAAUCUACCACCUCUCAUAAUACAUGAAGAAAGUAUUUCUACAACCUGAAUGAUUCUGUGAUUCUAUUUAGUGAUGGGACAAGGAUAAGUGAAGUUGAUGGCUGGACUUGAUGACCUCGAAGGUCUUUUCCAACCUAAAUGAUCCCGUGAUUUCCACUCUGCCAUCUCACAGGGGUUUUUCCUCUGAGCUGAGCAGCGGGCCACGGGAUAGGGAAUGAUGGCAAGGAAAUGGAGAGUGAAGGCACUGUGCCCAAGUCAAGGUAUGAGGAUGCCCCAGUGGUUGAGUUUACUCGCAGCCUGUUUUUCCACUGAAUGCUGCCAGCCUCCAAGCUGCUUGAAUACCACAUGCUGCUUGCAUUGCUGUCUUUUCAUCUGCCACCCCUUGGUGUCCCCUGAGGUGUGCAGGCUGGGGAUGGCUGCAGGUGACUGGAAAUGCUGCUGGAAAACAACCCCUUGUGAGGGAAUUAACUCCUGCUUUUAUUUAUUUUCUGGUGUGAAUACAGCUCUGAGGAUGCAGGAGAGCUUUGCUGAUGUUCCUUCAGAGUUUGAAAUAGUUUUCUUUCUCAAAGAUGGAUGCUGAGCACUUUCAAGCGGGUUAUUUAGAAGGUUUGUGACCAGAAAUCAAACCAGGCUGAAAAAAAAUGUAGAUCUACCUGUUUACAUCAUAAACCACGAACACAUUUGCAUCCUGCAACAAACACCUGGGCAACAUCCAGUGGAGACAUUCCCAACGUGUUAACUACUGCCAGCGCUGGAAUCCUGUAAUCACAGCACAUCAAGAUGAUGGGAACUCAAUUAAAUUAAGGAGAAACACCAAGAUUGUGAAACUUGGCGGCAGGACAAGAGCUGGUUGCAACACAGGCUGGACUUUAGAAGCGUGACCUUUUGACCUGAAUCAUGACAAGUGAUUAUGAGGAAGAGCUGCUCUCACUUCUAAAUUAUUGCCAUGCAAUGAGCAGAUUUCCACGGGGUGGCUGAAGUCAUGUCCUGAGAUACAAGGGAUACAAGCAUCCCAUUCCUGCUCUACUUUGUACUACAAGACUGGUCUUAGUGAAGCUUAUUCUCUUAAAAUGUCCUCACUGGCUGAAUAAAACACAAUUUCUGUUCUAAUAUUGUUGGGCUGUGAAACAUUGCAAUAGAGGCACAAAUGUGGGCAAGAACAAGUUUUACUGCAGACGCUUUAUCUUCUGAUAGAUUGUCCCAGUGCUGCAUUCCUCAUUCCCUGGCAGUUUGGUCCAGCUCAGAUUGGAAGAUGGUGAAGAUCUUGGGAGACCUCCAAUAACGUGGGGCAAAAUGCACUGAUAACAGAAAUGCAAUGGCUUUGAUUGAUCUGUAGAAGGAAAAAAAAAAGAAACGGUCCAUAGUGAGAAUGCAGAAUAAGAUUGAGAGGAAAAGUUGAGCCCUAGAAGGGAGGCUGGUGCGUGGUGUAUUCAAUAAUUGCAUUUAUGAAUAAACAAUUAAGUAUUACCAAUGAA